UACGAAGGGUGCUAGCGUUGUUCGGAUUUACUGGGCGUAAAGCGUGCGUAGGUGGCUUUACAAGUCAGGGGUGAAAUCCUGGGGCUCAACCCCAGAAUUGCCUUUGAAACUGUAAAGCUAGAGUAUCGGAGGGGAUAGCGGAAUUGCUAAUGUAGAGGUGAAAUUCGUAGAUAUUAGCAGGAACACCGGUGGCGAAGGCGGCUAUCUGGACGAUUACUGACACUCUGGCACGAAAGCGCGGGGAUCAAACAGG
This 253-nucleotide ribosomal RNA is filed under the name uncultured bacterium. RNAcentral describes it as "partial 16S ribosomal RNA". It matches the Rfam family "Bacterial small subunit ribosomal RNA", at positions 524 to 776 of the family's 1533-position model. The record is from RNAcentral.